UGCCUACGGGGGGCAGCAGUGGGGAAUAUUGCACAAUGGGGGAAACCCUGAUGCAGCAACGCCGCGUGAGUGAAGAAGUCAUUCGUGAUGUAAAGCUCUAUCAGCAGGGAAGAAAAUGACGGUACCUGAGUAAGAAGCCCCGGCUAACUACGUGCCAGCAGCCGCGGUAAUACGUAGGGGGCAAGCGUUAUCCGGAUUCACUGGGUGUAAAGGGAGCGCAGGCGGUACGGCGAGUCUGAUGUGAAAACCCGGGGCCCAACCCCGGGACCGCACCGGAUACUGCCGGACGCGAGUGCCGGAGGGGG
This 305-nucleotide ribosomal RNA is filed under the name uncultured bacterium. Its description in RNAcentral is "bacterial SSU rRNA". It matches the Rfam family "Bacterial small subunit ribosomal RNA", at positions 335 to 658 of the family's 1533-position model. The record is from RNAcentral.